Long non-coding RNA from Lolium rigidum, 1449 nucleotides. RefSeq lists it as uncharacterized. The record is from RefSeq and is a predicted model, not a curated record. The transcript has 2 exons. NCBI's taxonomy places the organism in Eukaryota, Viridiplantae, Streptophyta, Magnoliopsida, Poales, Poaceae.
UACUUCACCACUUCCUGUACAUCUCACCAAGGUGUAGCUUCGGGUGCAGCAAGGUAUACCUCAGUUCCUGGAGUCGCCGGAACAAACUAUCGGCUUCACGCUAGAACUGCAGGUUACUCGGUUACAUGCUCCCUUUUUCUUUAGAGUCAAUACAAACUUGUAGUAGUCCAUACUGUAUUUUUCCAGGAUUUUCUUACUUUAAUUAUGCAAAACUUCCUGUAGGCUUUACUGGAACGGAACCAGGAUGCAAAGGCUGCAAGUGGUUUAUAAAGUUCAAGCACUGUGUACAUGGUGAAGCUACUCACUUUAGGCGAGUCAGUGACUCCCAUGGCAUCUAUUUUUCUUUUAGAUGGUUCUGAACAUCUGGUUGUCAUGUCGUUUUGCAUUCUAUUGUUUUAUUUGGCACUGCUAUCUUGUGCAACUAUGAGCCCCCUGUGCAGCUUAUUUGUAGGCAAAUUUCUUGUUUAUGAGAUGAUGUUGACAUAUACAGUGGCCAAAUGACUGUAAAAUGGGCAUUCCUUUUUUUUUUUGUUGCUUUUGUGGAUUAUCUUAAACUCUCUUGAUCAUUCUUCUUGAUGGUUAAUGUGAAUGAUUGCAUAUUUGCGUACAAGUUUAAAAUGCCAGAUUAGUUUCUUUGGAUGGAAGUUUUUUCUUGUAAAACCUGUUUUCGUUCGUAGUUUUACUAUGCCUAGUUCAGGUCACUUAAAUAUUGACAUAAGUCUUCGGUAAUGGUACAGAAUCAGCAAUUCUGUUACCAGCAAUAGAGCAUUGUUAUUUCCGUUGUCUUAAAUGAAAUAUAUAUGUUAAGUUUGGCCGUUGACAUUAUGCUAGCUCUUUGUCUAUUUCUCUUCUGAUGACAAAGCUGGUACUGCAUAUAUCCUGAACAACAUGUUAGUGCAUUGAUGAAAUGUAACAACUCUUAUGGAAAACGGCACCGUCGGUUGAUUCAUCUUAAAUUUCUUAUAUUGUGUGUUGUGACUUUCAGGUAAGGAAGAAAAGAUCAGGAAGAAAAGGCUAGGUCCUCCGCUCUGGCAGCACACCACCACAUCUUGUGCGGCCUGGAUCACACAUAUACAAUCCAGGUCUGAAACAAACAGUGUGACACCAAACAGGAUAAUGAAGAGGAGGACGAGAAGACAUGCAGGGUAUCUGUACCUGUAGCUGGUUGCAGCCUGCAUCACUUGGAAGCUGGAAGACCCUUGGACAAGGAGGAGACAACAUCAUAUGCCUAGCUUGGUCGAGCUAUCUAUGCGCAGUAACUUCCUACACUGUAAUUAGCUCUGCGAUAUGGCUUACAAUGCAUUGAGUCAAGACUUCAGAUUCGAAAGUGUUUGCUAAGGCAGCAUGUUUCAUACUGUACAUCAAGUUUCCUUUGUUGUUCAUUGUUCUGAAUUGCGGUACCUCUCUUUGAUUAGACCCCUGAUCGAGUUGAACUGUAUGAGGUUAACA